Molecule: ribosomal RNA, 192 nt
Filed under: uncultured bacterium
Lineage: Bacteria
Description: partial 16S ribosomal RNA
Rfam family: Bacterial small subunit ribosomal RNA
Source: RNAcentral
UGUAGGCUGCAACUCGCCUACAUGAAGUCGGAGUUGCUAGUAAUCGCGGAUCAGAAUGCCGCGGUGAAUGCGUUCCCGGGUCUUGUACACACCGCCCGUCACACCAUGGAAGUUGGGGGCGCCCGAAGUUGCCUAAGAAAUAAGGUACCUAAGGCGAAACCAAUGACUGGGGUGAAGUCGUAACAAGGUAUC